This 29-nucleotide non-coding RNA is filed under the name Mus musculus (house mouse). The record is from RNAcentral. Lineage: Eukaryota; Metazoa; Chordata; Mammalia; Rodentia; Muridae.
UCGUGGCGAUAGCUAUAUUGAUUCCAGAU